This 998-nucleotide long non-coding RNA is filed under the name Lepisosteus oculatus (spotted gar). Its description in RNAcentral is "lncRNA (ENSLOCG00000021565.1)". Lineage: Eukaryota; Metazoa; Chordata; Actinopteri; Semionotiformes; Lepisosteidae. The record is from RNAcentral.
CGAAUUUACUGUCGGAGGGCAGCAAUUCGGGUUUGAGCAGACUCCCCCAGCUUCCACCAGGGGGCGCCUUAGGAUCGUGGCGAAGGUGAAGGGGGGCCGUGCACUCUGCACCGAGCGCCGUGGAGGAGACUCUCUCGACCGCCUCCUGGAGAGGGGAACAGCCGGUCUCCCACGACGGGAAAAAAACAGGUCGCUCUUCGCCGCGGCCGGGGAGAAAUGGCCGGAGCGCAGUGCCGCAGGAAAAGCUGUCUGUUCCGGCUGUCGAAGGAGAACUGCCCCUUCAGGCGGCUGCGGAAGACCACCGCCUACGAAAUAAGGAAUCCUCCAUCUGCCAGCACUGUGGAAAGAUGGGGUGCGGCUGAGCAGACGCCCAGUAGUUGCCCCCCGCAGCCUCUGAAUGGUAUCGCCCAGGUGUACAUAGAGCCCCGCCCUCCAGAAGUCUACUGCCCCGCCCCCUCCAGUCCACACCAAUCAGGAGCGCAGUGUGGUGCUGUCAAUCACACUUGUCUCCUCCACGUGGGUCCUCACCCGUUGCUGACCCCUCGCUGCCCCUGUCGCCCUCCCUUGGACUCGGCGCUGGAGGGAGCGGUGAUGGACGCAGAUCCGAUGUUGUUUGGAUUGGUCCAGUCCAGCCCCGGACCCCCUGCCAGCCUUCCUGCCUCAGAGGUGAGGCCGAGCUGGGCCCAUCAUCAUCCUCAGCACAGAGGCUCGAACCCUCCACCAGCACCCACCCCUGCACACCUGAGACCCCUGUCCUCAGACGUUGACGCCAGCAUGGGUCAGUCUCAGCCCUCGUCCAUCCCCUACCUGUCCUCACUCUUCUCCUCCUUUCCCUCUCACUCAUCCUCACUCACACCCUCUGUGGGCCUGAGAAUAAUCUGGAACCAGGAACAGCAGGAUCAGCAGAGAGAGGGACAGAGGAGGAUCAGUAGAGAGACAGAGCAGGAUCAGGAGUGAGAGAGACAGAGCAGGAUCAGGAGUGAGAGAGACAGAGCAGG